This 463-nucleotide ribosomal RNA is filed under the name uncultured Glomus. Its description in RNAcentral is "SSU rRNA". It matches the Rfam family "Eukaryotic small subunit ribosomal RNA", at positions 569 to 1041 of the family's 1831-position model. The record is from RNAcentral. Lineage: Eukaryota; Fungi; Glomeromycota; Glomeromycetes; Glomerales; Glomeraceae.
AGCAGCCGCGGUAAUUCCAGCUCCAAUAGCGUAUAUUAAAGUUGUUGCAGUUAAAAAGCUCGUAGUUGAAUUUCGAGAUCAAAUUGUUGGUCGUGCCUCGGUACGUACUGGUAAUUUGGUUUCUCCCUUCUGAAGAACCAUGAUGUCAUUAGUUUGGUGUCUUGGGGAAUCAGGACUGUUACUUUGAAAAAUUAGAGUGUUUAAAGCAGGCUCGCGCUUGAAUACAUUAGCAUGGAAUAAUGAAAUAGGACGUUUGAUUCUAUUUUGUUGGUUUCUAGGAUCGACGUAAUAAUUAAUAGGGAUAGUUGGGGCAUUAGUAUUCAAUUGUCAGAGGUGAAAUUCUUGGAUUUAUUGAAGACUAACUACUGCGAAAGCAUUUGCCAAGGAUGUUUUCAUUAAUCAAGAACGAAAGUUAGGGAUCGAAGACGAUCAGAUACCGUCGUAGUCUUAACCAUAAACUAUA